This 164-nucleotide small nuclear RNA is filed under the name Salmo salar (Atlantic salmon). RNAcentral describes it as "U1 spliceosomal RNA". It matches the Rfam family "U1 spliceosomal RNA". Rfam says of the family: U1 is a small nuclear RNA (snRNA) component of the spliceosome (involved in pre-mRNA splicing). Its 5' end forms complementary base pairs with the 5' splice junction, thus defining the 5' donor site of an intron. The record is from Rfam by way of RNAcentral. Lineage: Eukaryota; Metazoa; Chordata; Actinopteri; Salmoniformes; Salmonidae.
AUACUUACCUGGCAAGGGAGAUACCGUGAUCAAGAAGGCGGUUCACCCAGGGCGAGGCUCAGCCAUUGCACUCCGGCUGUGCUGACCCCUGCGAAUUUCCCAAAUGUGGAAAUCUCGAUUGCAUAAUUUAUGGUAGUGGGGGACUGCGUUCGCGAUCUCCCCUG